GUGUUGUAUGAAAGGAGAGAUGGUUAGCAUUCAUUCCCCUCAAGAAGGAUGGAAGAGGUCCUAGUGACCUAUGCAACACCUAUACCAAUUAAGGGAUUAUUAUCUACAUUGUGACAUCUAAUCGUGUUUGUUUU
Small nuclear RNA from Tachyglossus aculeatus (Australian echidna), 134 nucleotides. The record is from RefSeq and is a predicted model, not a curated record. NCBI's taxonomy places the organism in Eukaryota, Metazoa, Chordata, Mammalia, Monotremata, Tachyglossidae.